UGUUUCCCGCACUCCAAGUGCUAAAAUUGGAAUGAUACAGAGAAGAUUAGUAUGCUAGUAGCCUCUGUGCAGGAAUGACAUGUAAAUAUGUAAAGCAUUCCAUAUCUAA
Molecule: small nuclear RNA, 109 nt
Organism: Myotis lucifugus (little brown bat)
Lineage: Eukaryota; Metazoa; Chordata; Mammalia; Chiroptera; Vespertilionidae
Source: Ensembl